This 420-nucleotide ribosomal RNA is filed under the name uncultured bacterium. RNAcentral describes it as "bacterial SSU rRNA". It matches the Rfam family "Bacterial small subunit ribosomal RNA", at positions 355 to 775 of the family's 1533-position model. The record is from RNAcentral.
UGGGGAAUCUUGCGCAAUGGGAGCAAUCCUGACGCAGCGACGCCGCGUGUGGGAGGACGCCCUUCGGGGUGUAAACCACUGUUGCCCGGGACGAAUGUGGGGGCUUGCCCUCAUUGACGGUACCGGGUGAGGAAGCACCGGCUAACUCCGUGCCAGCAGCCGCGGUAAUACGGAGGGUGCGAGCGUUGUCCGGAAUCACUGGGCGUAAAGGGCGCGUAGGCGGUGGGGUAAGGCUAUGGUGAAAGCCCGGGGCUCAACCCCGGGUCGGCCGUGGCGACUGCCCGACUGGAGCACAGUAGAGGCAGGUGGAAUUCCGGGUGUAGCGGUGGAAUGCGUAGAGAUCCGGAAGAACACCGGUGGCGAAGGCGGCCUGCUGGGCUGUGGCUGACGCUGAGGCGCGACAGCGUGGGGAGCAAACAG